Non-coding RNA from Paramuricea clavata, 340 nucleotides. NCBI's taxonomy places the organism in Eukaryota, Metazoa, Cnidaria, Anthozoa, Malacalcyonacea, Plexauridae. The record is from the annotation of a GenBank genome assembly.
AUAGCACAUAUAUAGUGCAGUGCUUAGUAACCAAGCCUUAAAGUGAUCCCAAAUAGUGCAGUGCUUAGUAACCAAGCCUUAAAGUGAUCCCAAUAUAUUUUCCUAAUCAGUUAGCGAAAAUUUUGAAUGGACAUUUUGUUGAUUUUUUAUUUUUGUUUUUUUAUAUGUACAUGUUUGGAUAAUCUACAUGUUUUUCGUAACAUCCGAAAGAAAUCAGAAUGGAAUUUGAUGGAGCUAAAAAAAAUAAUAUUUCAAGAAAAAAAAUUUCAAAGUUUUCUCUCACUCAUUUGGAAAAUAUAUGGCAGCCAUGGUUGGUUUUAGUUUUAUGCCAAUAUCCGAC